Molecule: ribosomal RNA, 301 nt
Filed under: uncultured bacterium
Lineage: Bacteria
Description: partial 16S ribosomal RNA
Rfam family: Bacterial small subunit ribosomal RNA
Source: RNAcentral
CAGCCGCCACGGUAAUACGAAGGGGGCUAGCGUUGUUCGGAUUUACUGGGCGUAAAGGGCGCGUAGGCGGGCGAUUAAGUCAGGGGUGAAAUCCCAAGGCUCAACCUUGGAACUGCCUUUGAUACUGAUUGUCUUGAGUUCGAGAGAGGUAAGUGGAACUGCGAGUGUAGAGGUGAAAUUCGUAGAUAUUCGCAAGAACACCAGUGGCGAAGGCGGCUUACUGGCUCGAUACUGACGCUGAGGCGCGAAAGCGUGGGGAGCAAACAGGAUUAGAUACCCCCGUAGUCCCUGUCUCUUAUAC